Long non-coding RNA from Cucumis sativus (cucumber), 462 nucleotides. RefSeq lists it as uncharacterized. The record is from RefSeq and is a predicted model, not a curated record. The transcript has 2 exons. Lineage: Eukaryota; Viridiplantae; Streptophyta; Magnoliopsida; Cucurbitales; Cucurbitaceae.
AGAAGAUAAAGGCUGAUAGUAUGAAUAUUAUGAGUCCAGGGAUGAAAACCGCAGUUACCGGCCGGAAGAUCACCGGCGAAGGCGAACGCGGGGAGAGCUAUCAAAUGGCCUUCCAGCGUUUGGCUCGGGGUUUAGCGAUGACCGCAAAUUCAAUUACUCGGCGCGACGAAUUUGGUUACUUCGGCCCGCUUGUUUCGGCCUCUUUUUAUUUUGAUGAUCUGGAUUCGUUUGUUAUAACCUGGAUCCAUGACUAAGCUAUCACCUGGAACUCUUACAUCACAGCCGUACAUCCAUGACAUUCGUUGUAAUCAACGGCUGUCUCUUUUUCCUUUUGUUUUGUUUAAAUUAGGGUUUGUUUUGCAAUGGCACCUUUUUGAGAUGAAGAGGAAUUCUUGGAGAAUUUUAACUGUUUACAUGUUGUAGGUAAUUACUGAUUAAUAUUUGAUGUUUAGUUUUUCUAAA